This is a non-coding RNA of Acanthosepion pharaonis, 114 nucleotides long. NCBI's taxonomy places the organism in Eukaryota, Metazoa, Mollusca, Cephalopoda, Sepiida, Sepiidae. The record is from the annotation of a GenBank genome assembly.
UUAUGGUCACAUCACGUUGAGAACACCGGCUCCCAUACGAUCAUCGAAGUUAAGCAACGUAGAGCCUGGUCUGUACCAAGAUGGGUGACCGCUUGGGAAUACCAAGUGCAGUAA